AGGAAGCUCACAAACAGGGCAUGAGUGCUAUCGCCCUCUCCUAGCAACUGGUAUUCAGAGGCCUACUGCCUCUGAACUUCAAGGCUCCAUUCUUAGCAUGACUAAAUGCUCACUCCAGAGCUCUGCUGGAUCAGAGCAAAGAUCCACCUUGUCUAGCAUCCUGGUUAACAGCUGUUAAUAACCUAUCCUCCAUGAUGACUCUGUAUAAUCCCUUUUAAAAUAAGUCCAUGCUAGUGGCCAUGAGCACAUUGCACGGCCGUGAAUUCCACAAGGUGGUUUUGCAUUUGGCGAAGAAGUCCCUUCCUUUGCAGGAAGUUCCCUCUCAGUGAAUGGCCAUUUGUAUUCACCCUGUGUUGCCACUCUCCUGCAUGGAUCUCGCUCAUCGUCAGACCCAUUGUAUAAGAAGAGCUGGUCGGUGGGCACCAGCCUUCCACAUCGCUGAGCUUGAUCUGGGCCCCGGCCAUGAUUGGCAUGUGGCAGUGGCAUCUUCACUCUAGGGAAUAUAGACAAUGCGCCACACUAAAAGCAAGGGGAAAUUAGCUGCCACUUUUGCUGGGAAUGACAUAUUGACAAAGUACUUAGCCCAUGUUAUCCACUUCGGCAUUCAAUGGCACACGCAGACGGAGACAGCGGCAGUAUCCUCUCUCCGGCUGCAAGAGCCCACAAUUGGAGUCACUUCAAGCCCGCAGCUCUCCGUCAGAAAGCAUCGGAGAAAAGCAGCACGAAGUACACACAAUUCUAAAGAUUAUCCAGCUGGACAAAGACAGCCCUUACCAGUGGCAUUUGAAAACAAAACCAUCUGGAGAGCCAUGCACUAUAGCACUGAAGAGAGUGAAAAGAACUAUAGAUAGAUAGAUCUCAAAGAAAUGUGUCAAUACAUGUUCCUUAUUCCAGUCACUGAAAAUUCAAAAUGUCUCUUAACUGUGUUUUGUUUUGUUUUGAAUUUUAAGAUUUCAGUUCAAAGGCACAUGGCUCAGAGCUUUUAGUAUCAACAUUAAAUUAACUCACAACAGCAAAUGCUGCAAAUUUUGAAAAGAGGAAAGCAUUAAGU
Hemicordylus capensis (graceful crag lizard) is the source of this 1051-nucleotide long non-coding RNA. RefSeq lists it as uncharacterized. The record is from RefSeq and is a predicted model, not a curated record. NCBI's taxonomy places the organism in Eukaryota, Metazoa, Chordata, Lepidosauria, Squamata, Cordylidae. The transcript is spliced from 2 exons.